This 738-nucleotide non-coding RNA is filed under the name Mezira sp. The record is from RNAcentral. Lineage: Eukaryota; Metazoa; Arthropoda; Insecta; Hemiptera; Aradidae.
GUAAAGUUUGAUCCUUGCUUAGAACAUUGCUCAUUAAUGAAUCAUAUAUGUAUACUUUUAUUUAAAAAUGAUGAAGUGCAAUUUAUAAAAUUAAUUAUUUGAGAAAUCAAGAAUUAGUUAAUUAAUUUGGAGUUAACCAAUUUUGUGCCAGCAGUUGCGGUUAAACAAUUGACUCAGUGAUGUUUUUUGGGAGAGCAUUAUAGUUUAAUUAUCUUUAGUUAAAUAAUUUAUUAUUAGGUGGAAUUUUAAUUUUUAUUAAUUAUAUGUUUAUUUAUUAUGUGAAAGCUAAUUAUUAAACUAGGAUUAGAUACCCUAUUAUUUUAGUUGUAAUUAUAUCCUUAAGACUAUUAGUUGAUCUUUAAAUUAAAAGGAUUUGGCGGUAAUUUAAUCUUAUCAGAGGAACCUGUUUAUUAAUUGAUGAACCACGAGGUGUUUAACUUUUAUUUUGCUUGUAUACCUCUAUUUAUUGAAAAUCUUAUUAGGGUAAUUUUCUUUAAUCAUUAAUUUGAUUUAUUUUAGGUCAAGGUGCAGCAGUAUAAAAGUUGGAAUGGGUUACAAUUUUAUGAUAAUUGGAUUAAUUAUGUGUGGUAAUUAUGAAAGAGGAUUUGAAAGUAAUAAGAAUUAGCUUAUUCUUGUGAUUAAGGCUCUAAUUUAUGUACAUAUCGCCCGUCACUCUCGUUUAUAAGACGAGAUAAGUCGUAACAAAGUAGACUUACCGGAAGGUGAGUCUGGUGGUUU